CAAUAGCGUAUAUUAAAGUUGUUGCAGUUAAAAAGCUCGUAGUUGGAUUUGUGGCUGUCACGGGCGGCCUAUCACUUAGUGUUAGUGCUUGCCUGUGUCGCCAUCCUUGGGUGGAGCCCGUGUGGCAUUAGGUUGUCGUGCGGGGGAUGCCCAUCGUUUACUGUGAGAAAAUUAGAGUGUUCAAAGCAGGCUUAUGCCGUUGAAUAUGUUAGCAUGGAAUAAUAAGAUAGGACCUCGGUACUAUUUUGUUGGUUUGCGCACCGAGGUAAUGAUUAAUAGGGACAGUUGGGGGUAUUCGUAUUUCAUUGUCAGAGGUGAAAUUCUUGGAUUUCUGAAAGACGAACUGCUGCGAAAGCAUUUACCAAGGAUGUUUUCAUUAA
RNAcentral lists this ribosomal RNA (380 nucleotides) under uncultured eukaryote. RNAcentral's name for it is "partial 18S ribosomal RNA". It matches the Rfam family "Eukaryotic small subunit ribosomal RNA", at positions 592 to 976 of the family's 1831-position model. The record is from RNAcentral.